Molecule: unclassified non-coding RNA, 328 nt
Organism: Lonchura striata (white-rumped munia)
Lineage: Eukaryota; Metazoa; Chordata; Aves; Passeriformes; Estrildidae
Gene: 7SK
Rfam family: 7SK RNA
About the family: 7SK was discovered as an abundant small nuclear RNA in the mid-70s but a possible function has only recently been suggested. Two independent studies have found that 7SK RNA binds the CDK9/cyclin T complex (known as elongation factor P-TEFb).
Source: Ensembl
AGAAGUGAGGGUCAUCUGGCUGUGACAUCUGUCACCCCACUGAUCUCCAGGGUUGAUUCAGCUGAUCUGGCUGGCCAGGUGGGUGUCCCCUUCCUCCCCCAACACACCACGUGUGUCCCUCCUGAAGCUGCAGGCUCAGUCACAGAGGAUGAUGUCCCCGGUAGAGAUGGCGCCAUUCAUCAGUCAGGGGUGUGGGGCAGCUGUGCUCCCCUGCCACAACCUCCAAACAGGGUCAAGGUCUGUCAAAGGCACAUCCUUCUUUCUUUCAGGAUUUUUCAUAGAGGAGCACAGAGGAAAGAAAGAGAAAACUAUUUCUAUUUCUGCUCCU